RNAcentral lists this ribosomal RNA (436 nucleotides) under uncultured bacterium. RNAcentral describes it as "bacterial SSU rRNA". It matches the Rfam family "Bacterial small subunit ribosomal RNA", at positions 43 to 473 of the family's 1533-position model. The record is from RNAcentral.
UCAGGCCUAACACAUGCAAGUCGAACGGCAGCACGGGUGCUUGCACCUGGUGGACGAGUGGCGAACGGGUGAGUAAUAUAUCGGAACGUGCCCUAGAGUGGGGGAUAACGUAGCGAAAGUUACGCUAAUACCGCAUACGAUCUACGGAUGAAAGUGGGGGACCGCAAGGCCUCACGCUCCUGGAGCGGCCGAUAUCUGAUUAGCUAGUUGGUGGGGUAAAAGCCUACCAAGGCGACGAUCAGUAGCUGGUCUGAGAGGACGACCAGCCACACUGGGACUGAGACACGGCCCAGACUCCUACGGGAGGCAGCAGUGGGGAAUUUUGGACAAUGGGGGCAACCCUGAUCCAGGAAGGCCGCGUGUGUGAAGAAGGCCUUCGGGUGUAAAGCAAUGUGCCAGGAACGAAACGGUGGGGGCUAAUAUCCUCUGCAAUGAC